This 253-nucleotide ribosomal RNA is filed under the name uncultured bacterium. RNAcentral's name for it is "partial 16S ribosomal RNA". It matches the Rfam family "Bacterial small subunit ribosomal RNA", at positions 524 to 776 of the family's 1533-position model. The record is from RNAcentral.
UACAGAGGGGGCAAGCGUUGUUCGGAAUUACUGGGCGUAAAGGGCGCGUAGGCGGCCUGUUAAGUCGAACGUGAAAUCCCCGGGCUCAACCCGGGAACUGCGUCCGAUACUGGCAGGCUUGAAUCCGGGAGAGGGAUGCGGAAUUCCAGGUGUAGCGGUGAAAUGCGUAGAUAUCUGGAGGAACACCGGUGGCGAAGGCGGCAUCCUGGACCGAGAUUGACGCUGAGGCGCGAAAGCGUGGGUAGCAAACAGG